RNAcentral lists this ribosomal RNA (498 nucleotides) under uncultured bacterium. RNAcentral describes it as "partial 16S ribosomal RNA". It matches the Rfam family "Bacterial small subunit ribosomal RNA", at positions 28 to 523 of the family's 1533-position model. The record is from RNAcentral.
GAUGAACGCUAGCGGCAGGCCUAAUACAUGCAAGUCGAACGAUAGAAGAGGGCUUGCUCUCUUCGAAAGUGGCGCACGGGUGCGUAACGCGUAUGCAACCUACCUUAAUCAGGGGGAUAGCCCGAAGAAAUCCGGAUUAACACCGCAUAAAAUCACAGUACAGCAUUGUACAAUGAUCAAAUAUUUAUAGGAUUAAGAUGGGCAUGCGUGACAUUAGCUAGUUGGCGGGGUAACGGCCCACCAAGGCGACGAUGUCUAGGGGAUCUGAGAGGAUGACCCACCACACUGGUACUGAGACACGGACCAGACUCCUACGGGAGGCAGCAGUAAGGAAUAGUGGUCAAUGGAGGCAACUCUGAACCAGCCAUGCCGCGUGCAGGAAGACGGCCCUCUGGGUUGUAAACUGCUUUUAUUCGGGAAUAAACCUCAUUACGUGUAAUGAGCUGAAUGUACCGAAGGAAUAAGGAUCGGCUAACUCCGUGCCAGCCGCCGCAGUAA